ACGGGGUGCAGCAGGCGCGAAAACUUUACAAUGCGGGAAACCGUGAUAAGGGGACACCGAGUGCCAGCAACAUUUGUUGGCUGUCCGGGUGUGUAAACUACACCCGUUAGCAAGGGCCGGGCAAGACCGGUGCCAGCCGCCGCGGUAACACCGGCGGCCCGAGUGGUGAUCGUGAUUAUUGGGUCUAAAGGGUCCGUAGCCGGUUUGGUCAGUCCUCCGGGAAAUCUGACGGCUUAACCGUUAGGCUUUCGGGGGAUACUGCCAGGCUUGGAACCGGGAGAGGUAAGAGGUACUACAGGGGUAGGAGUGAAAUCUUGUAAUCCCUGUGGGACCACCUGUGGCGAAGGCGUCUUACCAGAACGGGUUCGACGGUGAGGGACGAAAGCUGGGGGCACGAACCGGAUUAGAUACCCGUGUAGUCC
This 422-nucleotide ribosomal RNA is filed under the name uncultured bacterium. RNAcentral describes it as "bacterial SSU rRNA". It matches the Rfam family "Archaeal small subunit ribosomal RNA", at positions 325 to 747 of the family's 1478-position model. The record is from RNAcentral.